Molecule: long non-coding RNA, 439 nt
Organism: Gorilla gorilla gorilla (western lowland gorilla)
Lineage: Eukaryota; Metazoa; Chordata; Mammalia; Primates; Hominidae
Exons: 2
Source: RefSeq, a predicted model, not a curated record
ACCGUUGCGGGACCGAGGGAGGGGUGUCUUGCCCGGGCGGCUGAAAGAAGCCUCCGCGCCGGGCUCUGCGCCGGCCAACGCCGACUUCCGAUCAGCUGGAGGCCUUCGCGUCGAUGGCCAGGCCUGGGAAUGGGAAUCAGAUAGCUCCCACCACCACCACAUUUGCUGUAGCUCAGAAGGCUCUGCCUACAUGACUACUGCAUACCCUACUGGGAGAAUUGGAAGAAUGUGAUGAUGGUAGGAGUCACCCAGCACAGAAGCAUGAGUGAAUGACAUCCCAGAGAUCUGCAAAGGAUCCUGGUAGCCACUUCAAAGACUUUUUCUCCCUUCCUCAGACAAUCAUGGCACCUGGACAUCAGAGGAAGAAAUGGCAAAGUUUGUAUGACUCCUCCAGCAGAGUCCUUGGAAACAAUAAAGCUUCCUUUCCAAAUUCUGAGAA